Molecule: RNA transcript, 1200 nt
Organism: Nomascus leucogenys (northern white-cheeked gibbon)
Lineage: Eukaryota; Metazoa; Chordata; Mammalia; Primates; Hylobatidae
Gene name: fructose-bisphosphate aldolase A pseudogene
Exons: 1
Source: RefSeq, a predicted model, not a curated record
AGAUCCCUGGCCAAAGAUUUAUUUCUCUUGACAACCAAGGGCCUCCAUCUGGAUUUCCAAGGAAGAAAUUUCCUCUGAAGCACUGGAACUUGCCACCACCAGCACCAUGCCCUACCAAUAUCCAGCAUUGACCCUGGAGCAGAAGAAGGAGCUGUCUGACAUCGUUCCACCGCAUCGUGGCACCGGGCAAGGGCAUCCUGGCUGCAGAUGAGUCCACGGGAGCACUGCCAAGCAGCUGCAGUCCCUUGGCACCGAGAACACCGAAGAGGACCGGCGCUUCUACCGCCAGCUGCUGCUGACAGCUGACGACUGCGUGAACCCCUGCACUGGGGACGUCAUUCUCUUCCACCAGACACUCUACCAGAAGAAGGAUGAUGGGCAUCCCUUCCCCCAAGUUAUCAUAACCAAGGGCGGUGUUGUGGGCAUCAAGGUAGACAAGGGCGUGGUCCCCCUCGCAGGGACAAAUGGCGAGACCAGCCACCCAAGGGUUGUAUGGGCUGUCUGAGGGCUGUGCCCAGUACAAGAAGGAUGGAGCUAACUUCGCCGAGUGGCAUUGUGUUCUGAAGAUUGGGGAACACACUCCCUCAGCCUUUGCCAUCAUGGAAAAUGCCAACGUCCUGGCCCGUUAUGCCAGCAUCUGCUAGCAGAAUAGCACUGUGCCUGUUGCGGUGCCUGAGAUCCUCCCUGAUGGGCACCAUGACUUGAAGCGCUGCCAGUAUGUGACCGAGAAGGUGCUGACUGCUGUCUACAAGGCUCUGAGUGAUCAACAUAUCUACCUGGAAGGCACCUUGCUGAACCCCAACAUGGUCACCCCAGGCCAUGCCUGCACCCAGAAAUUUUCUCACGAGGAAAUUGCCAUGGCGACUGUCACAACGCUGUGCCGCACAGUGCCCCCCGCUUUCCCUGGGAUCACCUUCCUGUCUGGAGGCCAGAGUGAGGAGGAGGCAUCCAUCAACCUGAAUGCCAUUAACAAGUGCCCCCUGUGACCUUCUCCUAUGGCGGAGCCCUGCAAGCCUCUACCCAGAAGGCCUGGGGCAGGAAGAAGGAGAACCUGAAGGCUGCGCAGGAGGAGUACAUCAAGCGAGCCCUGGCCAACAGCCUGGCCUGUCAAGGAAAGUACAGCCCGAGCAGUCAGGCCGGGGCUGCUGCCAGCAAGUCCCUCUUCAUCUCUAACCACGCCUACUAAGCGGAGGUGUUCCC